This 253-nucleotide ribosomal RNA is filed under the name uncultured Pelagibacterales bacterium. RNAcentral describes it as "partial 16S ribosomal RNA". It matches the Rfam family "Bacterial small subunit ribosomal RNA", at positions 524 to 776 of the family's 1533-position model. The record is from RNAcentral. Lineage: Bacteria; Pseudomonadati; Pseudomonadota; Alphaproteobacteria; Candidatus Pelagibacterales.
UACGAAGGGACCUAGCGUAGUUCGGAAUUACUGGGCUUAAAGAGCUCGUAGGUGGUUAAAAAAGUUAGUGGUGAAAUCCCAAGGCUUAACCUUGGAACUGCCACUAAAACUUUUUAACUAGAGUAUGAUAGAGGAAAGUGGAAUUUCUAGUGUAGAGGUGAAAUUCGUAGAUAUUAGAAAGAACACCGAUUGCGAAGGCAGCUUUCUGGAUCAUUACUGACACUGAGGAGCGAAAGCAUGGGUAGCGAAGAGG